This is a long non-coding RNA of Pseudopipra pipra, 3965 nucleotides long. RefSeq lists it as uncharacterized. NCBI's taxonomy places the organism in Eukaryota, Metazoa, Chordata, Aves, Passeriformes, Pipridae. The record is from RefSeq and is a predicted model, not a curated record. The transcript has 2 exons.
UUCUUCAAAUUCAAUAUGUGAUGAUGGUCGGGCUUACAAUUCUGUUUUAUUUUUAGUCAUGAAUGCAUAGAGGGAAAAAAUUAAACAAGAAUGGUAAUCCACUUCAGACACCACUUAAAUAUAGAGUACAGCUGUGCAGUGUCUUUUCAGGUAAAGAUACUGCAUUGUUUGGCUAUUGCAUAUUGCAGAAAUAAUUUGGCUAUAAGUGUCUUAUUUUUGGACUGUUUUGUGUUACUGUAGUGUAUUGGUGUUUACUCUUCAAAGCCCUGGGUUCAGUGUAAUAUGUUUGUUCAGCUUUACAAAAAUGUUGUGGCAUGGAGAAGGAGUAGGAGUCAGAGUUUGGUUCCCAUCCAGACAUAAUUUACUGAUAUAAAGCCUUUGUGUAUUAAGAUCAUGAACCAGAAAAGUUUAAAGGUUAUGGGCAAGUUGCCAGAGAAUUCUAACUUAUCAUUGGUAAAAUUCAGCUUUGAAUAGAAACUGGAAAAAAACUAUUGUGUACUCUCUUGGGGUUAUUUACACUACAGAGGGACACACUAUGAUCUCAGUUACACUACUCGAUAUCCAUUAUCGAUGCUAUUUUGAAUUUAUGAUCUACCUUCACAAUAUAAACUUUAUUAAUAAGAAAUUUUGUCUUUUUCUUGAUUUGUUCUGUAAUCCAAUAACAACUAACUCCAUGUUUAUUCCAUUAGUAUUUAACCUUGUUUGCAAUUAUAUGUCUGAUUUUUAAUUUUUUUCCUCCCCUCCCCUCUCUCCCUUCCCCUCUCUCUCUCACCUUUUUUAUAUAUAUGCUAAAAUCUAACACAUAGGAAAGGAUUCUUUACAUCUCAUUUAACCAUUUACAAGUUAGGUAUCUUCUGCAGCAGUAUUCUAGUCUUUCAUUUAAGUCAAUGGAGAGAGAGAUACACCUACAAAUACUAUUUCUUUUUAUCCUAAAAUAUGUGUUUAAAAUAGGUGUAUUGAAUUACCCUCUGCAGGUACUUACAAUCCAGUUACCUCUCAUCACUGAGUAAAUGGGGCCUAGACAAGUAGCUUAGAUUAAAUGUUUCACAUUUGGAUGCUUGAUUAAAUUUGAGGUUAGAUGGUUCCUAACCUAAGUAUACCGUAUUUUUCCCUUUUAAUUUUUGUGCUGUUUCAUUUAAAGAUGGAUCAAUAUUUAAAAGCUGUGAAGUGUUUCCCUUAAAAGAACUGUACAUUGAAGGUCAGUUUAAAUUGGACCUUUAGAUUUCCUGGUGCAGUACAUUGUCAAAACUGAUCAUAAGGAACAUGCAGUGUAAUAAACAUCUAUCCAGGUCCUGUGAGAGUGUUUUUUCAUGAAGUCAUAUUACACCAGGUAAAUGACAUUCUGUUUUGUCAUUGUCUUAGUUUUAGCAUGUCUUCAGUGGUGCCUAGUUAAAUGGACAAAAAGGCAUUAGUUAAAGCAAACUUCUAGAGGCAAGACUUCAGAUGCUCCCCUUCCAUUCACCUGAUAAAGCCAGUUCUUUCUACUUCCUUUUGCUUGCAUUCUCCAACAGAUCUUUCUUUCCAACGACUGUUAAGUUGCCAUUUAGUAGGAUUUGUUUGAUGCUCAAUUUUAAAGUUUUUCACAGAAAUAAUGGUUUUCAUCAGUAUUUCCUCACAGAACAAUUUGUUUCCUUUCAAAUCAGUCAUGUACUUUCACUCUUGUGUGUUUAAGUCAACAGGGCUUCUCUGCAAUUCCUGUUGAAGAGGAUCAGUGGGUUUGUUAUUACUGUGUUUGUCAUUUAGUUAGCCUCCAAGGAGCCAAGCAAUUUCCUGUAAAAGUGAAAACACAAAGAAUUAUGCCAUCUUAUUAAAGAUAUAGUAAGCUGUAGAAAGAAAUAUCAGGCAGAAAGGUUGAGAGGAUGGGACUACUGGAUUUACUAUGUGCUGUGACAGUGUUGAUAUGGAUAAUCAGUGGUAAAGGUUUUUUUUAAAAAAUGUUAUUCUAUUUCUUGUUGCACAACUCUUAAACUGAUAGGUUUUGUAUUUAAGAGAGCACGCCCAUUCUCAUACCCUUGUUUUAUAGGAAAGAAAAUGGUUUUGUAGAAAGUACUAUGCCAGUGCUUGUUUCUUUGCUUUAUCUCUAAUGGAAAAUAUUUUUGUCAGUCUCACACUUCAUAUUCCUUCUGUCUCUAUGGGGGGAAAAAAUUAUGCACAUACCAGUGAUGACUGCUUUCUAGGAGAGAAGUAAGGAGGUUAAGAAAGGAUAAGAAUAGUAACAAAUCCUAAAUUUCAACACUGAUAAGUGCUUGCUGCUCAGUAUGAGAAGAUUGGUUUCACUUCUGCUUUUACAGGGCAUUUGGCCCAGUUUUUAAUCAAGCGCCUGAUCUCUGCUCACUGUAUGGGACUUGGGCCAUGAGGAGAUUCUGGUAUGGCUAAUGGAUGAUGAAGGAAGGCUCCUGGCAUUUAUUGUUCAGGUCAGCAAAAGCUGCAGCAGUUGCAGUGAUCUGGAAAUUAAAUCUUCCUGCAAACAACCCAAACCUAGAAGCUUUCUGAGGUUGGAAAACAACUGUCAGAGAGAUUUCAGGUGUUCAUACUUGGUAUCACACCACAGGUGCAUUAAAAACUGCACUUGGCUGCCUCCUGGAACUACGCUCAGAUGAGAGAUGAAGAGGACUAAUGUCCACAGUGUGAGCAGAGUUCCUCAGAUUCAGUUUAAGGCACAGGAAAGGCACCCUGAUGCAUGUACAACAAAUAGUCUCUUUAACAGGUUUUGCCUGGGAAAAUAGUAGAAUUGCUUAUAGCAUUGCCUCCCUGAUUUUCCUGUUCCCUAAGGAUUUCAAACAAGUCUGUCUUCCCAUAUAAGCAUUUGUCUUGCUUCAUCACUUCCAGGGCCCAGCCUGUGCCAUGCAUAGUUGUUUUCUCUACUCACACAGAUCACUGAUCCUUUUUUUAAGAAAUACUUUUGCUAUACAGCUUCUGUGUUUCUUUUUAUUAGUGUCACUAGUGCAGAGACUUUACAAGUGUUUACCAGCCUUAUGUGCUCUUCUGAUCACCUGCCGGCCUGGCCAACAGCAUUAAUCACACAGAAGGUCUUGGGAUGGGCAUAGUCCUAAUGAAAUUGUGUAGGAGGGAGAGCCAAGAUAGUCCAGCUUGUGACUGUGCUCUCACUAUGUGAUAUGUUUACAGUCUGGUGCUAACCCCAUGCCAGCUUUCCUCUCCUCCUGCCUAGCAAAUCUCUCUUGCCUGUCCCCAGUGUCCUUGGGUUACUGUGGAUUCAGCAGGAAGGGUUACAAGCCGAUAGUAGGAAGCAAGACCCAGUGGAGCCACCUAUGGACAAGAGAAGCUAUAGAUUAAAUUUGUUUUCUGUUGUAAUAAUUCAACAUCUCUGUGACUGGAACAUGAUUUUUUAAUUUUGGUUAUAAUUUCUUUUGCCAGCUGGUCCCUGUAAAUGUUUGCACACCAGCUCUGAUCAGGUUUGUGCCUGCUGCCUUUCUGCUACUGAAGUUGCUAAGAGUCUCAAGAAUGGCCAAUAAAACCAAUAUCUGAUUCUUUUCAGUUAAUUUGAUUAUAAACUAUGUGGGCUUCUUUGGUUUUACAACAGUGACAGAUCUCAGCUAGGACAAGAACGUACUUCUGUAAGAACAACAAAUAUGAGUAGUCUGAAAAGAAGUAAAGCAGCCAAAUUAAUUUAAUUACUUGGCCUACACUAUUCUAUAUUCUACCCUGUUACUAGUACAGAAUUGUGGCUCUAAUCAUGUAAUCAUGUAAUCAGGCAGCAUUUUCACUGACUUGGUUUUUCCAGAGUUUUAUAGCUUAUCUGUAUAAUUAAGUUCUAGUAUGAAAGAUGCACACAGAAGAAGCAGCCCUUCUGGAAAAUGUUGGAAAAAAAACCCCAAACCUCUAAUGCUUACCUGUGAGGAUGCUUUAGGAAUGAAAAAGCAAACACUGUAUUCAAUAAAUACUGUAAAUACUGUUUUUAAUUCACCUGUCAAAACAGAGAUAAAAUAAACAUGGUAAAUGAUUGA